RNAcentral lists this transfer RNA (74 nucleotides) under Protobothrops mucrosquamatus (brown spotted pit viper). Its description in RNAcentral is "tRNA-Asn". Lineage: Eukaryota; Metazoa; Chordata; Lepidosauria; Squamata; Viperidae. The record is from RNAcentral.
UAGGUUAAAGUCCGUUGCGGUAAACUGUAUAGUUGUUAAUUAGUUUUUUGCGGGAUCGAGGCCUGCUAAUCUAG